UACGUAGGGUGCAAGCGUUGUCCGGAAUUAUUGGGCGUAAAGAGCUCGUAGGCGGUUUGUCGCGUCUGCUGUGAAAACUCGGGGCUUAACCCCGGGCCUGCAGUGGGUACGGGCAGACUAGAGUGUGGUAGGGGAGACUGGAAUUCCUGGUGUAGCGGUGAAAUGCGCAGAUAUCAGGAGGAACACCGAUGGCGAAGGCAGGUCUCUGGGCCACUACUGACGCUGAGAAGCGAAAGCAUGGGGAGCGAACAGG
RNAcentral lists this ribosomal RNA (253 nucleotides) under uncultured bacterium. RNAcentral describes it as "partial 16S ribosomal RNA". It matches the Rfam family "Bacterial small subunit ribosomal RNA", at positions 524 to 776 of the family's 1533-position model. The record is from RNAcentral.